UACGUAGGGUGCGAGCGUUAAUCGGAAUUACUGGGCGUAAAGCGUGCGCAGGCGGUUUUGUAAGCCAGAUGUGAAAUCCCCGGGCUUAACCUGGGAACUGCAUUUGGGACUGCAAGGCUUGAGUACGGCAGAGGGGGGUAGAAUUCCUGGUGUAGCAGUGAAAUGCGUAGAUAUCAGGAGGAAUACCGAUGGCGAAGGCAGGUCUCUGGGCUGACACUGACGCUCAUGCACGAAAGCGUGGGGAGCAAACAGG
This 253-nucleotide ribosomal RNA is filed under the name uncultured bacterium. Its description in RNAcentral is "partial 16S ribosomal RNA". It matches the Rfam family "Bacterial small subunit ribosomal RNA", at positions 524 to 776 of the family's 1533-position model. The record is from RNAcentral.